GGAUAUUUCUGAAGCAUGCACAGUAUCCUGCGGUACUUUUUAAGUACCACAGAUGAUCCAUUAUGCGCAUGUGGUCACCCAUCUUUUGAUGGAUAUCUCUGAAGCAUGUACAGUACCUACGGUAUUUUUUAAGUACCACAGAGGAUCCGUUCCUAAUCCACAGAUCCAUCUGAAAAUUUAGUUUAAUCUUGAUGGAUUACCUGAAUGG
RNAcentral lists this long non-coding RNA (208 nucleotides) under Elaeis guineensis (African oil palm). Its description in RNAcentral is "long non-coding RNA (EGUI_LNC011773)". Lineage: Eukaryota; Viridiplantae; Streptophyta; Magnoliopsida; Arecales; Arecaceae. The record is from RNAcentral.